RNAcentral lists this ribosomal RNA (253 nucleotides) under uncultured bacterium. RNAcentral describes it as "partial 16S ribosomal RNA". It matches the Rfam family "Bacterial small subunit ribosomal RNA", at positions 524 to 776 of the family's 1533-position model. The record is from RNAcentral.
UACGUAGGGGGCUAGCGUUGUCCGGAAUCAUUGGGCGUAAGGCGCGUGUAGGCGGUCCGGUAAGUCCGCUGUGAAAGUCGAGGGCUCAACCCUCGAAUGCCGGUGGAUACUGUCGGGCUUGAGUACGGGAGAGGCGAGUGGAAUUCCUGGUGUAGCGGUGAAAUGCGCAGAUAUCAGGAGGAACACCGAUUGCGAAGGCAGCUCGCUGGAACGUUACUGACGCUGAGACGCGAAAGCGUGGGGAGCAAACAGG